GGGGCGAUAGCUCAAUCGGUCAGAGCGCCGGACUCAUAAUCCGUUGGUUCCGGGUUCAAGCCCCGGUCGCCCCACCA
Molecule: transfer RNA, 77 nt
Filed under: Actinomycetota bacterium
Lineage: Bacteria; Bacillati; Actinomycetota
Description: tRNA-Ile
Rfam family: tRNA
About the family: Transfer RNA (tRNA) molecules are approximately 80 nucleotides in length.
Source: RNAcentral